UUAUAUGAUGAUAAAGAGCAUUGCUCGAAACCCAGCUCGUCGAUAAAGACAGGAGUAACGCCCAUGUCUAUGAGAAAACGUUUAUUCUGAUUCA
This 94-nucleotide small nucleolar RNA is filed under the name Wallemia mellicola CBS 633.66. Its description in RNAcentral is "A. fumigatus snoRNA Afu_304". It matches the Rfam family "A. fumigatus snoRNA Afu_304". RNAcentral also lists the same sequence under 1 other name. The record is from Rfam by way of RNAcentral. Lineage: Eukaryota; Fungi; Basidiomycota; Wallemiomycetes; Wallemiales; Wallemiaceae.